Aegilops tauschii subsp. strangulata is the source of this 4783-nucleotide non-coding RNA. Lineage: Eukaryota; Viridiplantae; Streptophyta; Magnoliopsida; Poales; Poaceae. The record is from RefSeq and is a predicted model, not a curated record.
UCUUGCGAGUUAAUUAGCAUAAAUAAAUGCCCAAUUUAUUCCAGUUACUUUUCAAAUUCUGCAGUGCAGCCUAAUGUGUGAAGCGAGAAGUUUGGAUCUGGUGGUAGAAGUCCUUUGAACAUGGACAAAUCAAUACCAAAAUUGAUGUGGUUCUUACAAUCUUUGUGUACAGUGUUUUUUUGAGGAGUAAGUAGGUGGAGCACACGAGUGACGUGAUACUCCAAACUCUGACUGGAGACGUGAUACUCCAAACUCUGACUGGACUAACUCUUAGCAUCUCAUAAUGUAAUGUCUACACGAGAUGGAGCACGCCGCCUCGUCGAUGCAUGAGCCGGUGAGGUUUAAAUCAAGCUGUGCGUGUCUUGGUGAGAAUUUUUGGACUGCAUUUUGUGGUUGCGAAGGAAAUUGUGGGCGGUGUAGGAUCUAUACUGUACGUGGAUUGCAAUAGCUGGAUUGAUGGUAAGGUUUGAUCAAUGAACAUCAACAUAAUUUAUAGUUUGAUUUAGGACUAUGCAUCUUCUUGCACUGAUUUUCAUCUCUUUGGAGUUCCCUAAAGAAUCACUUUGAGUAAUGCUUAUUUCCCCCCAACUCUAAAUUGUACCAAUGAAAAGUAAUUACUUUGAGCAGAGAAGAGGAGGGCAGCAAGGAGGAACAUGGGGGCGUGUGGCUGGGGCGUUUCUCUUGCACUAGGGUCGGGAAGCGAUUUUGCAAUAGAUUUUAUAGGGGGUAGAAGGAGAGUUUGUGCGAGGGUGCAGGUGCGCCGGUGGUACUGGUUGAACCCAUGGAAGUUCUGAGCUCAUAAUUGCUAUGAAAUCUACACAAAAGUUUGUGAUUUUGUUAACCUGACUAGAGCUCGAUGUUCAUGUCAGUCCUUUAUUUAGAUGUUAACCUGCCAUUCCUUUCUAGAUGAUGACUUGCUGUUCUUCUACUAAGGCGGUGCAUCUAAGGUUUCUUUACUUGCUAACUGACUAUUCAGUUCAACAACGGCCCAUGCGGUAGAAUUGAGGCUGCAACUCUGGCACUUCAAAGAGGAAAGGAAAACAUGACUACUUCAUGGCGAGGUAAGGAGUGGCUUAAUUGAACCUGCUACAUUGUGAUUGUUACAUUGAGAUUGUUCAAUGACUCGUUUGUUAAUUUUGAUUUUAAUUAUACUGUUGAACAACUUAGAGAUGUCAUAAUAUAAUUAUAGAAAAUAUAUUAUGGUAUAUUUCCUACAGAGAUCAAGCAGAGCUGAUAUACCGCAUUUAGAUAACUCUGUGCAACAGUGUGGAACUAUCUGAAGUACAUUUUUUCUUAUAAAACCAAUGAUGAGCGAGUCCAUUAGGUUUUGUUCUGUGAUACAAAAGGUUAUAGACAACUUCACAAGAAAAAUCAUUGCAGCUUAGUCUUGACGACUACAAUUUCAAUUCGUUAUUCCAGUCUAGCACACAUGUUUUAUAGACUUUCUGUAAUAUCUAUUCUUGAACGCACGGACACUUAGCUAUACUGCCACAUACACCUAUGAGUGUCCAUGGCUUAAAAGUCUUCUCUCCAUUUUUUAGAUGAACUUUUUUGGACGGAGUCCAACCUCCCUGCCAUGUUUACAUUCACGACAGUUUCUAUUGAUACAUGCAAAUCCUUUAUACGCCGAUGAACAAUAAACAAUUAUGUCUUCUUUACAUUCCUCCUCAUAUACUUUUGUGGUUAUGGUACUUUGAUUAUAAGGUAGCAACUCUGUGGUCUGCAAUCCAUAGAAGUAUACUGAAUUAUGAUAUCCAUCGAUCUAAUUUUGUAUAGGAAGUUUCAAAAACUAAAGAAUCUGUGGUACAUGAUUUGAUUUACUCAUUUAGAUUUUAGUAAACUGUGAACGAAAGUUUUUUGCACAAAGCCAGUGCACCACCCUUUCUACACACAUCAUUCAUGGAUUGGCAGACUAAAGGUUCUAUUCCACAUCUUUGGUGUAGUUCAUAAAUGGGCUAGAGUAAAAAUAGACCAGAAUUGUUAUAUGUGCUUAGGGAAGUGGGAUUAGAUCAAGAUGCUUUUUGACAAAUGAGAAAUCAAUGGCUCAAGGAGAGUAAGCCCAAGGAGAUAAUUAUUGUUUUCCUUUAGUAGCUUGCCGCAUAAUUCAUUCAAGCAUAUUUAGAGUGGAGCGGGAAUAUUCAAACAAGGAAAUGUACACCAUAUCUGUUAGUAUACAUGUGACACUUUCAUGUCUUUCGACUAAUGAUGCCUCCUACCAGGUAUCACUAAUAGCACAUUCAUCACAACAUUUGUAUAGCUCAUUCUGGUGUAAGUCUGUCCAAUUUAGAAAGGAUUUUAAAGCGGAUUCAUACAGGUUAUAGAAGUUAGAGUCAAAUAAUAUAAUAAGUGAUUUGUAUAGAAGUCAGGCACAACCAUCCCUACCAUGGCAUCGGCGUGGCCUUCCCUGCCAGGCGCGGCGGCUCCUUGGUCCGAUCGCGGUGCUGAUGCAGAUGGAUCGACGAGGGUUAGCAGGCUCGCCGGCUGGUGUUUCCUCGGACGCAUCGCUGUUCCAAUCGUGAUGGCAUGACCAUAUGAGUCUACAAGACUUUGAGGCAGCUCAUUUGCGUGGAUGUUUGUGGCUGGGCACACAAUCCAUUAAUCCUUCAUAUUUUCGCACAGAAGAACGGAUGGUCCACUGUAGAAGAAGCACAAGCAUCAUGUGGCAUUGUAGUCAUUGGUGAAGAUUGAUAUGCACUCAAAUGCAAGACUUAUGAUGGUGUUUGGUACCGAUAAAGAUGAUUGGAAAGCCUCUUUCCAAGCAUAAGGUGAAUCUUGUAUAUUUCACUUUUCUGAAAACUAUAUCGCCAUUUAUUUAGCCAGUACGAUGUUUAUUUUCUAAAAACUGUAUUGCCCUUGUAGCCCUUGUAGGUAUUUUUCUUCUUGCGCUAGAACUGUCGGAGAUGCUUAACCCAGUCAGUUGCGACUAAGCUGUAACAUAACUAUAUUUAGAUCACCCUUGUACUGAACUUGUAGUCUGUCAUUCCCAUGUUUAUAACUGCUGACCUAACGUAGCAACAUAGAUUACAACAACCAGUAGUGAAUAGUGGCUACUUCAAAAUGUAUGGUAUUCCUACGCGGUGCUAGGAAUGCCUUUCCCCUUAGAUAUGUAGUUGCAUAAAACACUGGCAUAUAGAAAGAUCACGAGCAAAAAAAUACAUGCAAGUGUAUAUAAUGUCAUUUUACUUUAAGCAGAUAUCUAGGAAAACAAGGGUGGAAAUUGUGAUUUCAGAAGACUCGAAGUUUUCAAUGGGCAUGCAUCUUUUUUUUAUAUACUUCUCACACGGCUUAUCAAGUAUAUUGAGACGUUGUAACCAGACUAUAUUUGCAAAGUAAGGAUUAGCAGUUCAUGCUCCUAACCAGAUAUCCACAAAUCUUGUUUCAGUGCACCAUUUACGUUGCAUGAUGAUCUCUCAAUCCUUGUGUAUAUUGAGUAAUUCGGCAAAGAUGUAGUUUACUGAACACUUGCGUAUAUUGAAGUCGGUUUUAGUUCCAAUUUAGAAUAUACUAUCAUGCAUAUAAGCAUGUUAAGAGAAGCCUGAUUGAUUCGAUUGAUUUGCUAUAGAACUUUUUAUUAGACAUGAAGGUGUCUGCCCCUUUUUUUUACAAAAAAGAAGGUAUACCUACUUUGAACAAAAAUUGCUUGAUAUGUUUUCGAGUCGAGCGAGAAAACACUUGCUAAUCUCUUAUUCAUAUGCUAUUUUUGCGUAGCUUAGUUGUCCAUCUAGGGGUAUUGGUGGUCAUGCCGGAAGCCCGGAACAUAUGCUGAAUGAGGCAUCCAUGGUCAAGCUUCAAUAGACUUGCUAAAGUUAAAGAAGCUCAUGAUGAACUUUUGCAGACAAUGUUUCUGAUGUUCAAGAGAGAACUUUGUAAAUGAGGACAAUGUCGCGAGCUGCAAAUCUGUAAAUGAUGUUGAAGAGAGCUGUAAAUGUCUCUGCAACAACGGACCUGCAGCCUGUAGGUAAUUGGUCUUGUGUCUUCCAGCUGCAAUAAAACAAGUCUAAGCGAUCAAGGUCCUACUGUUCAAUUAAGCUGGCCGUUUGCUUGCUUUUGUGCCUACAACAUGCUCGCUGAAUUGUUUUGUCGUAGUAUGAAAGCUUGUAAGCGCCAGAUUGAGGUCCUACUAAUAAUAAAUUAAGGUCGUUGCUUGCUUGCUUGCUUUUUUUUUCUCAGUAUCGCAAGCUUUACUGUGAAUUAAAAGGAAUUGAGUUCCUCUGAGCACAGUUUAUUUAUUGGUGAACGGAAGGCCAUGUAAAGAGUAAAUGGCAAUGGAGCCUAAUAAAACAUAUACAUGGCGUCGUGUGCUGCAGAGUUGUAGCGUGUUCCUGCAUUUUGGAAUAUGGAAUAGAACAGAUACAUGACAUAUGAUAUGCUAGAUAUAAAUCUUCAGUUUGGAAUUAUCAAGUGCAGUUUGGUGUACUGUCAAUAUUAUUUCAGGUCUAGGUUUAAUUUAGAGUUCUUAUGGAUGUGAUAUUUGGCACAACCUGAUGUUUAAGGACAUCCAUGGUUUUUUUACAUGUUAGUCGGUCACCUCUCUCUCUCUCUCACCUCUCCCCCACAUGAGAGAGCAACCCCUCCAUCAUGGCGUAAACCUAGAAGACCGCCAUUGUCAGCGGCACCUUCCUCUCCCUCAACCACCCAGCGGUUGCAUCUGUCCUCCAUCUCCUUCGGGCCAUCCUUGGCUAGAUCAGCGGGGAUCGGAAACACGAGCACUCACUUACUCCACUUCUGCAACUUUGGGGCAGGAGAAGAAUAGCAUAAUUAUUAUGUCUGCAUGGAAGGUGCG